AGAGUUUGAUCAUGGCUCAGGACGAACGCUGGCGGCACGCUUAACACAUGCAAGUCGAACGAGAGAAGAGGAGCUUGCUUUUCUGAUCUAGUGGCGGACGGGUGAGUAACACGUGAGCAAUCUGCCUUUCAGAGGGGGAUACCGAUUGGAAACGAUCGUUAAUACCGCAUAACAUAAUUGAACCGCAUGAUUUGAUUAUCAAAGAUUUAUCGCUGAAAGAUGAGCUCGCGUCUGAUUAGCUAGUUGGUAAGGUAACGGCUUACCAAGGCGACGAUCAGUAGCCAGACUGAGAGGUUGAUCGGCCACAUUGGGACUGAGACACGGCCCAGACUCCUACGGGAGGCAGCAGUGGGGAAUAUUGCACAAUGGAGGAAACUCUGAUGCAGCGAUGCCGCGUGAGGGAAGAAGGUUUUAGGAUUGUAAACCUCUGUCUUCAGGGACGAAAAAAGACGGUACCUGAGGAGGAAGCUCCGGCUAACUACGUGCCAGCAGCCGCGGUAAUACGUAGGGAGCGAGCGUUGUCCGGGAUUACUGGGUGUAAAGGGAGCGUAGGCGGGAUCGCAAGUCAGAUGUGAAAACUAUGGGCUUAACCCAUAAACUGCAUUUGAAACUGUGGUUCUUGAGUGAAGUAGAGGUAAGCGGAAUUCCUAGUGUAGCGGUGAAAUGCGUAGAUAUUAGGAGGAACAUCAGUGGCGAAGGCGGCUUACUGGGCUUUAACUGACGCAGAGGCUCGAAAGCGUGGGGAGCAAACAGGAUUAGAUACCCUGGUAGUCCACGCCGUAAACGAUGAUUACUAGGUGUGGGGGGACUGACCCCUUCCGUGCCGCAGCAAACGCAAUAAGUAAUCCACCUGGGGAGUACGACCGCAAGGUUGAAACUCAAAGGAAUUGACGGGGGCCCGCACAAGCAGUGGAGUAUGUGGAUUAAUUCGAAGCAACGCGAAGAACCUUACCAGGUCUUGACAUCGUAUGCAUAGCUCAGAGAUGAGUGAAAUCUCUUCGGAGACAUAUAGACAGGUGGUGCAUGGUUGUCGUCAGCUCGUGUCGUGAGAUGUUGGGUUAAGUCCCGCAACGAGCGCAACCCUUACUGUUAGUUGCUACGCAAGAGCACUCUAGCAGGACUGCCGUUGACAAAACGGAGGAAGGUGGGGAUGACGUCAAAUCAUCAUGCCCCUUAUGACCUGGGCCUCACACGUACUACAAUGGCUGUCAACAGAGGGAAGCAAAGCCGCGAGGUGGAGCGAACCCCUAAAAGCAGUCUUAGUUCGGAUUGUAGGCUGCAACCCGCCUACAUGAAGUCGGAAUUGCUAGUAAUCGCAGAUCAGCAUGCUGCGGUGAAUACGUUCCCGGGCCUUGUACACACCGCCCGUCACGCCAUGGGAGUCGGUAACACCCGAAGCCUGUAGUCUAACCGCAAGGAGGACGCAGUCGAAGGUGGGAUUGAUGACUGGGGUGAAGUCGUAACAAGGUA
RNAcentral lists this ribosomal RNA (1470 nucleotides) under metagenome. Its description in RNAcentral is "bacterial SSU rRNA". It matches the Rfam family "Bacterial small subunit ribosomal RNA". The record is from RNAcentral.